GAUGAAGAACGUAGCGAAAUGCGAUACGUAAUGUGAAUUGCAGAAUUCAGUGAAUCAUCGAAUCUUUGAACGCACAUUGUGCCCGCCAGCACUCUGGCGGGCAUGCCUGUUCGAGCGUCAUUUCAACCAUCAAGCCCCAGGCUUGCGUUGGAGCCCUGCGGCUGCCGCAGCCUCCUAAAAGCAGUGGCGGGCUCGCUAUCACACCGAGUGCAAUAGAUUACUCUUCGCUCAGGGCGUGCAGCGGGUUCCGGCCGUGAAACCCCCUACUUUUAAAGGUUGACCUCGGAUCAGGUAGGAAUACCCGCUGAACUUAAGCAUAUCAAUAAGCGGAGGA
This 334-nucleotide unclassified non-coding RNA is filed under the name soil metagenome. RNAcentral's name for it is "partial contains 5.8S ribosomal RNA, internal transcribed spacer 2, and large subunit ribosomal RNA". The stretch from base 1 to 120 matches the Rfam family "5.8S ribosomal RNA", at positions 35 to 154 of the family's 154-position model. The record is from RNAcentral.